CGGGAUGUAGCACAGUUGGCUAGCGCGCCACGUUCGGGACGUGGAGUUCGAGUCUUCUCAUCCCGA
This 66-nucleotide transfer RNA is filed under the name Candidatus Fermentithermobacillaceae bacterium. Its description in RNAcentral is "tRNA-Pro". It matches the Rfam family "tRNA". From Rfam's summary of the family: Transfer RNA (tRNA) molecules are approximately 80 nucleotides in length. Their secondary structure includes four short double-helical elements and three loops (D, anti-codon, and T loops). Lineage: Bacteria; Bacillati; Bacillota; Candidatus Fermentithermobacillia; Candidatus Fermentithermobacillales; Candidatus Fermentithermobacillaceae. The record is from RNAcentral.